UCCAGUCGCAGAUACGGCGCGCGAUGGC
RNAcentral lists this small RNA (28 nucleotides) under Bombyx mori (domestic silkworm). RNAcentral's name for it is "ovarian small RNA-2033". The record is from RNAcentral. Lineage: Eukaryota; Metazoa; Arthropoda; Insecta; Lepidoptera; Bombycidae.